This 489-nucleotide ribosomal RNA is filed under the name uncultured bacterium. RNAcentral describes it as "partial 16S ribosomal RNA". It matches the Rfam family "Bacterial small subunit ribosomal RNA", at positions 30 to 507 of the family's 1533-position model. The record is from RNAcentral.
UUGAACGCUGGCGGCAGGCCUAACACAUGCAAGUCGAACGGUAACAGGAAGAAGCUUGCUUCUUUGCUGACGAGUGGCGGACGGGUGAGUAAUGUCUGGGAAACUGCCUGAUGGAGGGGGAUAACUACUGGAAACGGUAGCUAAUACCGCAUAACGUCGCACGACCAAAGAGGGGGACCUUCGGGCCUCUUGCCAUCGGAUGUGCCCAGAUGGGAUUAGCUAGUAGGUGGGUUAACGGCUCACCUAGGCGACGAUCCCUAGCUGGUCUGAGAGGAUGACCAGCCACACUGGAACUGAGACACGGUCCAGACUCCUACGGGAGGCAGCAGUGGGGAAUAUUGCACAAUGGGCGCAAGCCUGAUGCAGCCAUGCCGCGUGUAUGAAGAAGGCCUUCGGGUUGUAAAGUACUUUCAGCGGGGAGGAAGGGAGUAAAGUUAAUACCUUUGCUCAUUGACGUUACCCGCAGAAGAAGCACCGGCUAACUCCGUG